GACGGAGGGUGCUAGCGUUGUUCGGAAUCACUGGGCAUAAAGGGCGCGUAGGCGGCCCGUCGUGUCGGCGCGUGAAAGCCCGGGGCUCAACCCCGGAGGUGCGGCCGAAACUGAUGGGCUGGAGGCCGGAAGAGGAGGGUGGAAUACCCAGUGUAGAGGUGAAAUUCGUAGAUAUUGGGUGGAACACCGGUGGCGAAAGCGGCUCUCUGGUCCGGACCUGACGCUGAGGCGCGAAAGCGUGGGGAGCAAACAGG
Molecule: unclassified non-coding RNA, 254 nt
Filed under: uncultured Alphaproteobacteria bacterium
Lineage: Bacteria; Pseudomonadati; Pseudomonadota; Alphaproteobacteria
Description: contains 16S-23S intergenic spacer region
Rfam family: Bacterial small subunit ribosomal RNA
Source: RNAcentral